Molecule: long non-coding RNA, 443 nt
Organism: Esox lucius (northern pike)
Lineage: Eukaryota; Metazoa; Chordata; Actinopteri; Esociformes; Esocidae
Exons: 3
Source: RefSeq, a predicted model, not a curated record
CGGUAGGUGGAAUGCAUUGUGGGAAUGGGGCUGCAGUAGGUGGGGUGGGUGUGGGAUGUGUCGUGGGUAUGGGGCUGCGGUAGGUGGGAUGUGUCGUGGGUAUGGGGCUGCUGUAGGUGGGAUGUGUCGUGGGAAUGGGGUUGCGGUAGGUGGGAUGUGUCGUGGGAAUGGGGCUGCUGUAGGUGGGAUGUGUCGUGGGUAUGGGGCUGCGGUAGGUGGGAUGUGUCGUGGGUAUGGGGCUGCGGUAGGUGGGAUGUGUCGUGGGUAUGGGGCUGCGGUAGGUGGGAUGUGUCGUGGGUAUGGGGCUGCGGUAGGUGGGAUGUGUCGUGGGUAUGGGGCUGCGGUAGGUGGGAUGUGUCGUGGGUAUGGGGCUGCGGUAGGUGGGAUGUGUCGUGGGUAUGGGCUGAGGUAGGUGGCUUGCAUCCUGACUGGACUGUGGUGUG